Molecule: long non-coding RNA, 97 nt
Organism: Hippocampus zosterae (dwarf seahorse)
Lineage: Eukaryota; Metazoa; Chordata; Actinopteri; Syngnathiformes; Syngnathidae
Exons: 2
Source: RefSeq, a predicted model, not a curated record
CAGUAUGCUUGGAGUUUACUCACAAAGUAGAAAUGGUUGUAACAGACAGCAAAAUUCAUCCACAAUAUCAAUAAAAUACUCAUGACAAAAAAAAAAA